AGAUUGAACGCUGGCGGCAGGCCUAACACAUGCAAGUCGAGCGGUAGAGAGGUGCUUGCAUCUCUUGAGAGCGGCGGACGGGUGAGUAAUGCCUAGGAAUCUGCCUAGUGGUGGGGGAUAACGUUCGGAAACGGACGCUAAUACCGCAUACGUCCUACGGGAGAAAGCGGGGGACCUUCGGGCCUCGCGCCAUUAGAUGAGCCUAGGUCGGAUUAGCUAGUUGGUGAGGUAAUGGCUCACCAAGGCGACGAUCCGUAACUGGUCUGAGAGGAUGAUCAGUCACACUGGAACUGAGACACGGUCCAGACUCCUACGGGAGGCAGCAGUGGGGAAUAUUGGACAAUGGGCGAAAGCCUGAUCCAGCCAUGCCGCGUGUGUGAAGAAGGUCUUCGGAUUGUAAAGCACUUUAAGUGGAGGAAGGUUGUAACUUAAUACGUUGCAACUUUGACGUUACCGACAGAAUAAGCACCGGCUAACUCGUGCCAGCAGCCGACGG
RNAcentral lists this ribosomal RNA (496 nucleotides) under uncultured soil bacterium. RNAcentral describes it as "bacterial SSU rRNA". It matches the Rfam family "Bacterial small subunit ribosomal RNA", at positions 26 to 520 of the family's 1533-position model. The record is from RNAcentral.